This 1400-nucleotide ribosomal RNA is filed under the name uncultured bacterium. RNAcentral describes it as "16S ribosomal RNA". It matches the Rfam family "Bacterial small subunit ribosomal RNA". The record is from RNAcentral.
AGAGUUUGAUCCUGACUCAGGAUGAACGCUAGCGACAGGCUUAACACAUGCAAGUCGAGGGGCAGCAGGGGAGUAGCAAUACUCCCGCUGGCGACCGGCGCACGGGUGAGUAACACGUAUGCAACCUGCCCUUGUCAGGGGGAUAAGCGGAAGAAAUUCCGUCUAAUACCGCAUAACGCUGCGGGGAGACAUCUCCCUGCAGCCAAAGAUUUAUCGGACAAGGAUGGGCAUGCGGCGCAUUAGCUGGUUGGCGGGGUAACGGCCCACCAAGGCGACGAUGCGUAGGGGUUCUGAGAGGAAGGUCCCCCACACUGGUACUGAGACACGGACCAGACUCCUACGGGAGGCAGCAGUGAGGAAUAUUGGUCAAUGGCCGGGAGGCUGAACCAGCCAAGUCGCGUGAGGGAAGACGGUCCUAUGGAUUGUAAACCUCUUUUGUCAGGGAGCAAAAACUGCCACGCGUGGCAGGAUGAGAGUACCUGAAGAAAAAGCAUCGGCUAACUCCGUGCCAGCAGCCGCGGUAAUACGGAGGAUGCGAGCGUUAUCCGGAUUUAUUGGGUUUAAAGGGUGCGUAGGCGGACAGUUAAGUCAGCGGUAAAAUUGAGAGGCUCAACCUCUUCCCGCCGUUGAAACUGAUUGUCUUGAGUGGGCGAGAAGUAUGCGGAAUGCGUGGUGUAGCGGUGAAAUGCAUAGAUAUCACGCAGAACUCCGAUUGCGAAGGCAGCAUACCGGCGCCCAACUGACGCUGAAGCACGAAAGCGUGGGUAUCGAACAGGAUUAGAUACCCUGGUAGUCCACGCAGUAAACGAUGAAUACUAAUUGUUCGGGUCAAAUGAGAUCUGAGUGAUACAGCGAAAGCGUUAAGUAUUCCACCUGGGGAGUACGCCGGCAACGGUGAAACUCAAAGGAAUUGACGGGGGCCCGCACAAGCGGAGGAACAUGUGGUUUAAUCCGAUGAUACGCGAGGAACCUUACCCGGGCUCAAACGACACAGGAAUGAUCUGAGAAAUCAGACAGUCCUUCGGGACCUGUGUCGAGGUGCUGCAUGGUUGUCGUCAGCUCGUGCCGUGAGGUGUCGGCUUAAGUGCCAUAACGAGCGCAACCCCCAUCGACAGUUGCCAGCAGGUGAAGCUGGGCACUCUGUCGAGACUGCCGGCGCAAGCUGUGAGGAAGGCGGGGAUGACGUCAAAUCAGCACGGCCCUUACGUCCGGGGCGACACACGUGUUACAAUGGCAGGUACAGCGGGAAGCCACCUGGCGACAGGGAGCGGAACCCGAAAGCCUGUCUCAGUUCGGAUUGGAGUCUGCAACUCGACUCCAUGAAGCUGGAUUCGCUAGUAAUCGCGCAUCAGCCACGGCGCGGUGAAUACGUUCCCGGGCCUUGUACACACCGCCCGUCA